UAGGGAGUAUUUGGCAAUGGGGGAAACCCUGACCGAGCAACGCCGCGUGUGCGAUGGAGUCCCUCAGGGACGUGAAGCACUGUGGGGGGCCGCCAAACGGGCGGGCAGGAAAUGGCCCGUCCCCGAGGAGCCCCCUAGAAAGCGACUGCUAACCACGUGCCAGCAGCAGCGGUAAUACGUGGGUCGCAAGCGUUAUCCGGAAUCAUUGGGCGUAAAGAGUGAGCAGGCGGUCCGGGAAGUCCGCGGUGAAAUGCGGGGGCUCAACCCCCGCAGGCCGCGGAUACUUCCGGUCUGGGGUGCGGGAGAGGCGGACGGAACUCCGCGUGUAGCGGUGAAAUGCACUGAUACGCGGAAGAACACCGGUGGCGAAGGCGGUCCGCCAGACCGAUACCGACGCUCA
Molecule: ribosomal RNA, 400 nt
Filed under: uncultured bacterium
Lineage: Bacteria
Description: bacterial SSU rRNA
Rfam family: Bacterial small subunit ribosomal RNA
Source: RNAcentral